RNAcentral lists this long non-coding RNA (1405 nucleotides) under Nicotiana benthamiana. RNAcentral describes it as "long non-coding RNA (NBEN_LNC033411)". Lineage: Eukaryota; Viridiplantae; Streptophyta; Magnoliopsida; Solanales; Solanaceae. The record is from RNAcentral.
AUUUUGUUAACAGAAAUGGUUCAAUUCUUCUUUCAACAAAAUGUCCAACUUUGAGCAAAUCUUCAGCAUGGACAUUCGUACUACACAAGACCUUCAUUAAAAAAUUGAUGGGACACAAAAUCGUUGGAAAUUAAAGUGUCAAACAAAGAACCGGAAGCUUCAAAAUCCAAUAACAAACUUGUUGAUGUAAGACCUUUUCAAAAUUAGAAGUGGACAUAUGUGUUAUCUUUAACAUUGCCUCAGGUAAAAAGUAUUAUCCAAACAUAAUGGGAACCUAACAUCAAUUUGCAACAUAACUCAGCAAAUAAAAUCAAUGUGGGUAUGAAAAUGCUAUCCAUCACUUCUCAUGAGAUUGAAGUUUACUAAUCACAAUAAAGAUGGCUAGUCACCAAUUCAAGGAACAACACCCACAUAGGCCCGGAAACAUGCCAAAUUCAGUACCAAGACAGAUGCCAAAUAAAACUACAAAUCAGCUAGUUUGAAACUCCACAAGCAAUGAAAUUAAUUCUAUAGUCACUUUCAUCUUCCCAAUGUAUUGAGCUGAUAAGGGAAAAACCAAGGAUCAAACACUUUUCUUCAUAUCAACAUAACCAAUUUCUCACAGUAAACUUGUAGAACCAAAGCAACAUAUUGAAAUACCAUAUCCUACACUAAAUUCAUUCAAAAACUAAGACACAACACUUAAACAAACAACUGAUUACGGGUUUACUAUCAUCAGUCCUUGUGUUCAACUCCUGAACAUAAUAUUUACUUUGAAACCAAAUAUUUACUCUCACCCUCAAAUAGGACUAAUUUGUCUUUACAAAAUAUUAAAACAUGAUGAAAGAAAAUUGAAAUGACAUGUGCAACUUCAGAAUCCCUACAGAAAUACUACAAAAAUAGAAGAAACAGAGCAUCAAAGUUCAAAUAAUUUCAUGUUCAAUCAAUUUUCAUUCGACAUUUCUACAAUCAUUUGUCCUUUAUAAUUUACAGAUGUACCUGGAAAUUGAAAGGAAAAGAAGUGAGGAAAGCAGUAGACAGCAGCAGAACUGGAACUUCAGCAAUACUAAUGAAAUAGUAACACCCCUCAAAGCAACUCAAAACCAGCUUUCGAAGCCCCAAAAUCACACCAUCUUCAACCCAAGAGCAAGAUUGAAAAAUUUUCAGAGAUUUUGACCAAUUACUAAGAUCAGAAACUAGAGACGAGGCAAAUUUGAGCCAAUUUUUCAAACAAAAUCAUGCAAAGGAAAUCAGUUGCUAGACUAAAUAUGCAGUCGUUUCAAUUUUUCUGGAUUUUUUCUUCUCUUCCAAAUCUGAUUUUAGCUUAAGGUUUAAUGCCUUUAUAGACAAGCAAUUAAGCUAACUAUCAGAUUUUGAUUAUUUCUUUUAGUCCCUUUUUAAUUACUUUUUUUGCUACUUAAUCCUU